GACGAACGCUGGCGGCGUGCUUAACACAUGCAAGUCGAACGGUAAGGCCCUUCGGGGUACACGAGUGGCGAACGGGUGAGUAACACGUGGGUGAUCUGCCCUGCACUUCGGGAUAAGCCUGGGAAACUGGGUCUAAUACCGGAUAGGACCACUGCCUGCAUGGGUGGUGGUGGAAAGCUUUUGCGGUGUGGGAUGGGCCCGCGGCCUAUCAGCUUGUUGGUGGGGUGAUGGCCUACCAAGGCGGCGACGGGUAGCCGGCCUGAGAGGGUGACCGGCCACACUGGGACUGAGAUAAGGCACAGAGUCCUACGGGAGGCAGCAGGGGGGAAUAUUGCACAAUGGGCGCAAGCCUGAUGCAGCGACGCCGCGUGAGGGAUGACGGCCUUCGGGUUGUAAACCUCUUUCAGCACCGACGAAGCGCAAGUGACGGUAGGUGCAGAAGAAGGACCGGCCAACUACGUGCCAGCCGCCGCAGUAA
RNAcentral lists this ribosomal RNA (478 nucleotides) under uncultured bacterium. Its description in RNAcentral is "partial 16S ribosomal RNA". It matches the Rfam family "Bacterial small subunit ribosomal RNA", at positions 28 to 523 of the family's 1533-position model. The record is from RNAcentral.